RNAcentral lists this ribosomal RNA (221 nucleotides) under uncultured bacterium. Its description in RNAcentral is "partial 16S ribosomal RNA". It matches the Rfam family "Bacterial small subunit ribosomal RNA", at positions 524 to 743 of the family's 1533-position model. The record is from RNAcentral.
UACGUAGGGUGCAAGCGUUGUCCGGAAUUAUUGGGCGUAAAGAGCUCGUAGGCGGUUUGUUGCGUCGGCUGUGAAAUCCCGAGGCUCAACCUCGGGUCUGCAGUCGAUACGAGCAAACUAGAGUGUUGCAGGGGAGACUGGAAUUCCUGGUGUAGCGGUGAAAUGCGCAGAUAUCAGGAGGAACACCGGUGGCGAAGGCGGGGUCUCUGGGCAACAACUGA